Molecule: long non-coding RNA, 876 nt
Filed under: Triticum aestivum (bread wheat)
Lineage: Eukaryota; Viridiplantae; Streptophyta; Magnoliopsida; Poales; Poaceae
Description: long non-coding RNA (TAES_LNC009839)
Source: RNAcentral
GCUUUAAGUUGUACUAUUGAGACCAUACCACCAUAUCUUCAUUUAGUUUCUUUGGAAAUCUGAAGGUCUAAGAGGACGGUACAUGUGAGAAGCUGUGAAUCUACAACAAAAAACUAAACUAACUUCCAAACAAACAUUUCAAGUUUGGAAGCCACAAAGAAGCAGCCAAGAUCUCUCGUUGUAGUGCAGAUUCAAGAAAAUGGGCCGAAUGACCAUCACAACGACAUGUAGAAGCAGCAAAAAUAUAGGCUUGGUGUGUAACUGAUCAUGAAAGAUAGCCUGGUCAGUUUCUCCAUUGUUGGCUUAUACUGAGCAAGAAGAUCAGCCUGCAGAGAAGAAAAAUGAAGGACUGCUUUAUUCUGCGGUACAUCCACAAUAGUACAGACAAUAAAGUAGUUAAAUGUGUGCUAAGAUGUAAGACCUUUUAGAUCACUAUUUUAGUGAUCUAAAAGGUAAGCAGUGAUCUAAAAGAUCUUGUAUUAGUUUGAAAAGGGAGUACUUAAUAAGACUGUAAGUCAGUACAUCAAAGUAAUGCCGGCUUCCCAUUGAUUUGAUCAAACCAAUAUGACAAAGGGAAGGUGAAACUUCAGAAGACCAUAUAAAUUGACUGCGAUGUCUUAAUUAAAACUCUGAAAUGAAGUAAUAAACAUUAAGUCUGAAUGUUGUCACUAAAAAAGCAUAAAAAAGGCAGACCAGCCAGCGGUGCAUCAUAAUUAGUGGUUCAUCAUGGGCAAACCAGGCAGCAGUAGCCUAAUAACUUAGACGGAAAAAAUGCAAGAAGUCAAAGCACAAGGUGGGAAAUAGGACCGAGCAUUGACAGGUAACCAAAUAAUGAAGGAAUAUCCCCAGAGGAUGCAAGAGGUGAGAGAGGAGCAC